AGCAAAAGAAACCAACAGGGAUUGCCCUAGUAACGGCGAGUGAAGCGGCAACAGCUCAAAUUUGAAAUCUGGCCCUCUGGGUCCGAGUUGUAAUUUGUAGAGGAUGCUUUUGGCGCGGCGCCUUCCGAGUUCCCUGGAACGGGACGCCAUAGAGGGUGAGAGCCCCGUACGGUUGGAUGCCAAACCUUUGUAAAGCUCCUUCGACGAGUCGAGUAGUUUGGGAAUGCUGCUCAAAAUGGGAGGUAAAUUCCUUCUAAAGCUAAAUACCGGCCAGAGACCGAUAGCGCACAAGUAGAGUGAUCGAAAGAUGAAAAGCACUUUGAAAAGAGGGUUAAACAGUACGUGAAAUUGUUGAAAGGGAAGCGCCUGUGACCAGACUUGGUCCCGGCGGAUCAUCCGGCGUUCUGCGCCGGUGCACUCCGCCGGGCUCCAGGCCAGCAUCGGUUCUCCCAGGGGGAUAAAAGCCGCGGGAACGUAGCUCCUUCGGGAGUGUUAUAGCCCGUGGCAUAAUGCCCUUGGGGGGACCGAGGACCGCGCUUCGGCAAGGAUGCUGGCGUAAUGGUCACUAGCGAC
RNAcentral lists this ribosomal RNA (573 nucleotides) under Ceratostomella sordida. RNAcentral's name for it is "eukaryotic LSU rRNA". It matches the Rfam family "Eukaryotic large subunit ribosomal RNA", at positions 54 to 648 of the family's 3401-position model. Lineage: Eukaryota; Fungi; Ascomycota; Sordariomycetes; Barbatosphaeriales; Barbatosphaeriaceae. The record is from RNAcentral.